Molecule: ribosomal RNA, 253 nt
Filed under: uncultured bacterium
Lineage: Bacteria
Description: partial 16S ribosomal RNA
Rfam family: Bacterial small subunit ribosomal RNA
Source: RNAcentral
UACGGAGGGUGCGAGCGUUGUCCGGAAUCACUGGGCGUAAAGGGCGCGUAGGUGGCGCGAUGAGUCAACGGUGAAAGCUCGACGCUCAACGUCGAGUCGGCCGUCGAUACUGUCGCGCUCGAGCACUGUAGGGGCAGAUGGAAUUCCGGGUGUAGCGGUGGAAUGCGUAGAGAUCCGGAAGAACACCGGUGGCGAAGGCGGUCUGCUGGGCAGUUGCUGACACUGAUGCGCGACAGCGUGGGGAGCAAACAGG